Molecule: ribosomal RNA, 253 nt
Filed under: uncultured bacterium
Lineage: Bacteria
Description: partial 16S ribosomal RNA
Rfam family: Bacterial small subunit ribosomal RNA
Source: RNAcentral
UACGGGGGGAGCAAGCGUUGUUCGGAUUUACUGGGCGUAAAGCGUGCGCAGGCGGUUGUGCAAGACCGAUGUGAAAUCCCCGGGCUUAACCUGGGAAUGGCAUUGGUGACUGCACGGCUAGAGUGUGUCAGAGGGGGGUAGAAUUCCACGUGUAGCAGUGAAAUGCGUAGAGAUGUGGAGGAAUACCGAUGGCGAAGGCAGCCCCCUGGGAUAACACUGACGCUCAUGCACGAAAGCGUGGGGAGCAAACAGG